UGCCCUCUCCAAGGAAAGUAUAUAAGCUCUGAUUAAGCUGUUCUCAGGGCUCUCUGCUCUAUCCAAGUGAGCUCUGAGCCCCAGGAUGCUGGAGCCCCAAUAAACCAUUUGUUGUUGCUGAGUGAAAAUGUGGUUCAAAAACUCCCCCACUCUCUUUGAUGAAGCCCUCCCCAGAGAUCUCAACAACUUCAGAACUACGCACCCUGAAGUCACCCUGCUUCAAUAUGUGGAUGUCCUGCUACUGGCAGCCAACACCAAGGAAAACUUUGAGUCUGCAACCCAAGCACUAUUAUUUGAGCUUGCUCAACUCGGGAAUAGAGCUUCUGACAAAAAGGCCCAAAUUUGCCAGCAAGAAGUAAUCUUCCUGAGGUAUUCCCUUAGGGGCAGUAAAUGAUGGCUCACUGAGCCCAGAAAACAAACCGUUGUGCAGAUACCACCCCCAUCUAACAGGAGACAACUCAGAGAGUUUCUUGGGACUGCUAGCUUUUGCAGGUUAUGGAUACCUGGGUUUGUGUUCUUAGCUGCUCCUUUAUACCCGCUGUUAAAUGAGGAUGCUCAAUUCCAAUGGACCCCUGAGCACCAGCAAGCUUUUGAUAACAUCUAAGGACACUGACACUGAAUUCCUCAACUUCACUGAGCCCAGCCUGCAAUUACAGAAAGCCCUACACUACUUUAAAAAUGUACAUCAACUCACUCACCUUGGUUCAAAGAAACUGCAGGCAUUCCUGAAGGAUCAAGAACAGAGUUUUAGACUAACCGACUUACAGCAAAAGGAAAUAUCUGAACGGGUAAUAAAAGCCUGUCGGGUCUGUCAAUUGGUUAAUGCUUACCCUUCCAAACUUCCUGCAGGAAAGCACCUAUGAGGAACCAGACAAGGACAAUUCAGGGAAGUGGACUUUACUGAAAUUAAGCCAGCAAAGUAUGGACUUAAAUAUCUCCUAGUCUUUGUAGAUACAUUUUCAGGAUGGAUUGAAGCCUUUCCCACAAAAUUAAAAAAAAAAAAAAAAAACAAUGGUGCAAAUGGUGGUCAAGAGUAUCCUGAAAGAUAUUUUUCCAAGAUACGGCCUGCCUAAGGUAAUAGGGUCUGAUAAUGGACCAGCGUUCAUGGCCCAGGUAAGUCAGGGGUUAGUCAGGACCCUGGGGAUUAAUUGGAAGUUACAUUGUGCUUAUAGACCCCAGAGCUCAGGACAGGUAAAAAAAUAAAUAGAACCAUUAAAGAGACCUUAAAGAAAUUAAGCUUAGAGACCAGCAUAAGAGAUUGGACUAUGCUCCUGCCUUAUGCACUGUUUCACGCAAGAAAUUCUCCCUCUGUUUCUUUGUGUAACAUAUCCCCCUAUGAAAUUCUCUAUGGUGCCCCUCCUCCAGUAAGGGACCUAACCCCAACUCUAAGACCUAACGAUCCCUUCCACACCCCCUUGCUUGACAGACUAAAAGCUCUCGAAAGAACUCAGUGAUACCUGUUGAAACAGCUGGCCACUGCCUACCAACCUGGGGACGAGGGGACUCCACAUCAAUAUCAAGUAAGAGACUUCGUCUACAUAAGACGUCAUCAGGUGUCAUCCCUGCAACCCCGCUGGAAAGGACCAUACCAGGUGCUACUUAUAACACCUACAGUGGUAAAGGUAGACGGAAUCACUUCCUGGAUCCAUGCCUCUCAUCUCAAGCCUGUGCCCUGUCCAGACUCUGGCUGGAAACUGGAAAAGACUGGUAACCCUUUCAAAUUGCGUAUUCACCAUGUGGAUAGGGCUAUAAACUGUCCCCUUGGCCACCAGUAGUCCUAACCCUCAUCAGCCCAUUCAGCAGCAAUGGCUGAUCACAAAUCCUACUAGACAAGAAGUAUGGUCUAUCUAGCAUACAGCCCCCUUAGGGGUCUGCUGGCCAUCUCUCCACCCAGAUAUUUGUCAGAUGGCUACAGGUCUUUCCUAUUGGGAUAUCCUAAAUGAAGAGGAUCCCACUAAAAUUCCAUUAAAUACCUUCUGUACCAUAGAUAAUGGAAACAAACAUUAUGGAUGUAGGGACACGCUACCAGAUGCAGGUUGGCUAUCCUAGAUUACUAUGUCUGCCCGGCAGACUAUCAAAGCCACAAACAGCCAUGGCUGUGUGGGGGAAAAGCCGACUUCUUCUGUAAGUCAUGGGGAUGUGAGCAUACUGGGGGUACCUGGUGGAACCCAAACUGCUCAUCAAAUUCAGUACACAGCAUUGGCCAUAUUACCAAUUAGAGAACGAAAACCGAUGGCCCCCAGAUGGGUCUCUGGAUCUUCAAAUUCUGUGUGACCUUUUUAACUUCUGCAAGUGCUCAAAAGGGUGAAUGGAGAUACCCCUAUGUGGAGGCCUUUUCCCUCCUUCGCACACAUCCUGAACUAUGCUUCUCCAAUAGAUCCUCACCCUCAGCCUUCUGCUCCAGACUCUCUGCUGUCACUCCCACCUCAGCAACUUGAUUUCUCCCCUCCAAUUACCAUAUCAAAAACCCAAACCUCGGCCGGUUCUCAGACCAUUGCCCCCUUGCUGAGGUAUCAGGUACUGAGGCACCCCUCCACCCACUCACUCCUCUCUUCUCCUGUCAGUGCACGCACCGGGUCCCACCAGGUCCACUUACCAGCUAACCCAAAGCUCAAACCAGCUGAGGAGAACCCUCAGACCUCUAUCCAAGAUGUAAUGAAAAUGUCCUUUAAAGUUGCUUUGUCAUCACUGAAAACAGGUUACUAAGAAUUUAAAGUCCCUCACAGGCUUUUUGGGAUACUCACUCCCAUCUUCCCCUGGGCUCUAUCUGUUCUACUGUUCAAGUUUUUGUUGCUAGGAAAAUCCCAAACCCCUUUCCUAUUAUUCUUUUACAUCUCUCCUUCCUCAUACUCAGAUCCACGGAGCUUCUCUCACACCCCACCUUCCCCGUCUUCCCCCUCUGUACCCGGCCCACAGAAAAGUCUUAACUGACCUUCUCCAGAUGUCUUCACCAUGGCUGACUUUAGGACUUUCAGCAAAAGAGUCCCUAUAAACGAGUUCAAUGUAGAUAAACUUCCUGUUUUCAUGUUGCCUGUUCUACUUGGGCACUGGCUGGAAAAAUCAGCACUCCUAAGCUAGACACCCCCCUUACUAGUUUUUCACAAAAUAUGUGAACAAGGCCCCUGGCCUUGAGCUGGGGCUUCACAGAGAUGGCUACAUUUCUAAGAUAAAUAAGUUACCAACUGGGCUCCUUUGGUAACAGCUGGCAGGGAGAAAAAAAAAGAGAAGAAAAAAGCUCUCCCCCUCCUAGGUGUCCUUAAAAAUGUAACUUGCCCAGAACAGAGGAAAAAAAAAAACAGAAAUAAAAACUGCUUUUUGUGAACUUCUGCAGACUGUGAACUUCUGAGCCCCUUCACUUACAUGUUGGGUACAAAAUUCUGAAACUACCUAAACUUUGGGUUCAGGGAAUUAAUUGAUUACAACAGAAGCAAUGCCUUCUAAAUCAGGUUGCAACUAAAUAGGACUGUUUCCCUGUCUUCCGUUCUAUCUUAGGUGCUUAUCCUUAUCCAUACCUACAACAAUAUAAUUCUAUAUACUUAAACACUGUGUAUGUUUUCAUAAAAUGGUCAACAGAUGUGAUUAAUUAUGUAAUAGUGUAGAUGUUUCCCAGAGUGCUCUAUCAUGACGCAGGAUCAUUUAAAGUUCAAAUAGGGGGGCAUACAACCCAGUUCUGCCAGAAACCUGUAUCCCUCACUUUAGCCAUCCUAUUAGGAAUAGGAGUUGCUGCAGGGUUGGGCACAGGAACCACUGCCCUAGUCCAUGGGACACAACAAAUCACCCAAUUAGAAGCAGCAAUAGACCAAAACUUAAAGAUAUUAAUAACCUCCAUCACAACUUUACAGGAAUCUUUAACCUCUCUCUCUGAAGUUGUUUUACAGAACAGGCAAGGGUUAGAACUCCUUUUCAUGAGAAAAGGGGGCCUUUAUGCUGCAUUGAGGGAAAAAAUGUUGUUUUUAUGACUACCAUACUGGUUGUAAAAGAAUCUAUGAGUAAAUUAAGAAGACGCCUUGAAGAGCAUCAACGAGAGAGAGAGGCCCAAAAAGGGUGGUUUGAGUCUUUGUUAACAUAGUCCCCCUGGUUAACUACACUUUUAUCAGCCCUGGCCGGUCCUUUAAUAAUCCUUAUUUAUUGCUAACUGUAGGACAUUGCUUGCUCCAACGUGUAGUUUCAUUUCUCCAAGCUCAAAUUGGACAAGUUAAACUUUUGGUAAUCAGACAACAACAUACCCCACUAGCAGACAUAAAAUGUAACACCGUCCAAUGAUCACUUUUAUGAUUAAAAGUAACCAGAAGAAGUGGGGAAUGAAAGGUUAAUAAAAUAGGUAUUUGUCACUUCCUGUUUUUCUGUAUACUUAACAAAACACUGUUGAAAUCUUGAGAACUGUUUGCUAAUCUUAUUCCCAGAAUGUGCAGUCCCCAACUGCCAAACUGCAGAAUGUACUCCCUCACCUGGUUGCACGCAAACCACCCACUCGCCCAGACCCAUCAACAAACUUCCCUCCCUGGCGUCUCCAAGGAAAGUAUAUAAGCUCUGCUUAAGCUGAUCUCAGGGCUCUCUGCUCUAUUCAAGUGAGCUCUGAGCCCCAGAAUGUUGGACCCCCAACAAACCCUUUGCUGUUGCAU
Molecule: long non-coding RNA, 4622 nt
Organism: Marmota monax (woodchuck)
Lineage: Eukaryota; Metazoa; Chordata; Mammalia; Rodentia; Sciuridae
Exons: 2
Source: RefSeq, a predicted model, not a curated record